GGUUAAGCGACUAAGCGUACACGGUGGAUGCCCCUGGCAGUCAGAGGCGAUGAAGGACGUGCUAAUCUGCGAUAAGCGUCGGUAAGGUGAUAUGAACCGUUAUAACCGGCGAUUUCCGAAUGGGGAACCAGUGUGUUUUCGACACCACCUAUCAUAACUGAAUCCAUAGGUUAAUGAGGCGAACCGGGGGAACUGAAACAUCUAAGUACCCCGAGGAAAAGAAAUUCAACCGAGAUUCCCCCAGUAGCGGCGAGCGAACGGGGAGCAGCCCAGAGCCUGAAUUCAGUGUGUGUGUUAGUGGAAGCGUCUGGAAAGGCGCGGCGAUACAGGGUGACAGCCCGUACACAAAAAUGCACAUGCUGUGAGCUCGAUGAGUAGGGCGGGACCGUGGUAUCCUGUCUGAAUAUGGGGGGGACCAUCAUCCAAGGCUAAAUUACUCCUCGAUGACCGAUAGUGAACCAGUACCGUGAGGAAAGGCGCGACAAAUAACCCCGCGAGGGGAGUGAAAAAAAGACCUGAAAACCGUGUACGUACAAGCAGUGGGAGCCUCUUUAUGGGGUGACUGCGUACCUUUUGUAUAAUGGGUCAGCGACUUAUAUUCUGUAGCAAGGUUAACCGAAUAGGGGAGCCGAAGGGAAACCGAGUCUUAACUGGGCGUUAAGUUGCAGGGUAUAGACCCGAAACCCGGUGAUCUAGCCAUGGGCAGGUUGAAGGUUGGGUAACACUAACUGGAGGACCGAACCGACUAAUGUUGAAAAAUUAGCGGAUGACUUGUGGCUGGGGGUGAAAGGCCAAUCAAACCGGGAGAUAGCUGGUUCUCCCCGAAAGCUAUUUAGGUAGCGCCUCGUGAAUUCAUCUCCGGGGGUAGAGCACUGUUUCGGCAAGGGGGUCAUCCCGACUUACCAACCCGAUGCAAACUGCGAAUACCGGAGAAUGUUAACGGGAGACACACGGCGGGUGCUAACGUCCGUCGUGAAGAGGGAAACAAACCGACCGCCAGCUAAGGUCCCAAAGUCAUGGUUAAGUGGGAAACGAUGUGGGGCCAGACAGCAGGAUGUUGGCUUAGAAGCAGCCAUCAUGGUGAAAGAAAGCGCGUCGGGUAAACCUGCACGCGGAUGGUCGGAAGAUGCACGGGUGUAGGGGAAACUGAACGAGGGGCUGCGGGAUGUGGACGUUGGGUGGGGGAGCGUUCUUGUAAGCCUGUGAAGGUGUGCUGUGAGGCAUGCUGGAGGUCAAAGUGUGGAAUGUGAGACAUAAGUAAGCGAUAAAGCGGGUGAAAACCGCUCGCCGGAAGACCAAGGUUCCUGUCCAACGUUAAUCGGGCAGGGGUGAGUCGACCCCUAAGGCGAGGCCGAAAGGCGUAGUCGAUGGGAAACAGGUUAAUAUUCCUGUACUUGGUGUUACUGCGAAGGGGGGACGGAGAAGGCUAUGUUGGCCGGGCGACGGUUGUCCCGGUUUAAGCGUGUAGGCUGGUUUUCCAGGCAAAUCCGGAAAAUCAAGGCUGAGGCGUGAUGACGAGGCACUACGGUGCUGAAGCAACAAAUGCCCUGCUUCCAGGAAAAGCCUCUAAGCAUCAGGUAACAUCAAAUCGUACCCCAAACCGACACAGGUGGUCAGGUAGAGAAUACCAAGGCGCUUGAGAGAACUCGGGUGAAGGAACUAGGCAAAAUGGUGCCGUAACUUCGGGAGAAGGCACGCUGAUAUGUAGGUGAAGUCCCUCGCGGAUGGAGCUGAAAUCAGUCGAAGAUACCAGCUGGCUGCAACUGUUUAUUAAAAACACAGCACUGUGCAAACACGAAAGUGGACGUAUACGGUGUGACGCCUGCCCGGUGCCGGAAGGUUAAUUGAUGGGGUUAGCGGUAACGCGAAGCUCUUGAUCGAAGCCCCGGUAAACGGCGGCCGUAACUAUAACGGUCCUAAGGUAGCGAAAUUCCUUGUCGGGUAAGUUCCGACCUGCACGAAUGGCGUAAUGAUGGCCAGGCUGUCUCCACCCGAGACUCAGUGAAAUUGAACUCGCUGUGAAGAUGCAGUGUACCCGCGGCAAGACGGAAAGACCCCGUGAACCUUUACUAUAGCUUGACACUGAACAUUGAGCCUUGAUGUGUAGGAUAGGUGGGAGGCUUUGAAGUGUGGACGCCAGUCUGCAUGGAGCCGACCUUGAAAUACCACCCUUUAAUGUUUGAUGUUCUAACGUUGACCCGUAAUCCGGGUUGCAGACAGUGUCUGGUGGGUAGUUUGACUGGGGCGGUCUCCUCCUAAAGAGUAACGGAGGAGCACGAAGGUUGGCUAAUCCUGGUCGGACAUCAGGAGGUUAGUGCAAUGGCAUAAGCCAGCUUGACUGCGAGCGUGACGGCGCGAGCAGGUGCGAAAGCAGGUCAUAGUGAUCCGGUGGUUCUGAAUGGAAGGGCCAUCGCUCAACGGAUAAAAGGUACUCCGGGGAUAACAGGCUGAUACCGCCCAAGAGUUCAUAUCGACGGCGGUGUUUGGCACCUCGAUGUCGGCUCAUCACAUCCUGGGGCUGAAGUAGGUCCCAAGGGUAUGGCUGUUCGCCAUUUAAAGUGGUACGCGAGCUGGGUUUAGAACGUCGUGAGACAGUUCGGUCCCUAUCUGCCGUGGGCGCUGGAGAACUGAGGGGGGCUGCUCCUAGUACGAGAGGACCGGAGUGGACGCAUCACUGGUGUUCGGGUUGUCAUGCCAAUGGCACUGCCCGGUAGCUAAAUGCGGAAGAGAUAAGUGCUGAAAGCAUCUAAGCACGAAACUUGCCCCGAGAUGAGUUCUCCCUGACUCCUUGAGAGUCCUGAAGGAACGUUGAAGACGACGACGUUGAUAGGCCGGGUGUGUAAGCGCAGCGAUGCGUUGAGCUAACCGGUACUAAUGAACCGUGAGGCUUAACCUU
This 2896-nucleotide ribosomal RNA is filed under the name Escherichia coli. RNAcentral describes it as "23S ribosomal RNA". It matches the Rfam family "Bacterial large subunit ribosomal RNA". Lineage: Bacteria; Pseudomonadati; Pseudomonadota; Gammaproteobacteria; Enterobacterales; Enterobacteriaceae. The record is from RNAcentral.